This 253-nucleotide ribosomal RNA is filed under the name uncultured bacterium. RNAcentral's name for it is "partial 16S ribosomal RNA". It matches the Rfam family "Bacterial small subunit ribosomal RNA", at positions 524 to 776 of the family's 1533-position model. The record is from RNAcentral.
UACGUAGGGGGCAAGCGUUGUCCGGAUUCAUUGGGCGUAAAGAGCGUGUAGGCGGCCAGGUAGGUCGGUUGUGAAAACUGGAGGCUCAACCUUCAGACGUCGACCGAAACCAUCUGGCUAGAGUCCGGGAGAGGAGAGUGGAAUUCCUGGUGUAGCGGUGAAAUGCGUAGAGAUCAGGAAGAACACCGGUGGCGAAGGCGCUCUGCUGGACCUUAACUGACACUGAGGGACGAAAGCUAGGGGAGCGAAUGGG